This 361-nucleotide unclassified non-coding RNA is filed under the name uncultured fungus. Its description in RNAcentral is "partial contains small subunit ribosomal RNA, internal transcribed spacer 1, and 5.8S ribosomal RNA". The stretch from base 1 to 73 matches the Rfam family "Eukaryotic small subunit ribosomal RNA", at positions 1759 to 1831 of the family's 1831-position model. Lineage: Eukaryota; Fungi. The record is from RNAcentral.
GCAAACUUGGUCAUUUAGAGGAAGUACAAGUCGUAACAAGGUAUCCGUAGGUGAACCUGCGGAUGGAUCAUUACCAAAGGAUUAUAUAUUUAUCCUAUGUAUUGUGAAUAGUUUUGACCGAAUUGGGGGUGAUUGGUUGUGUGUGGGAGUGAGUGGUUGUGAUUUGUGUGUAGGGUAGGUGGUGGUUUACUGCUGCUCUCUCUGCCCCUCACUCUCUUACUUACUCACACACCGGAUCCCCUAAGAAAAAACGUAUUUUUUUGUUUCAACUGAAGUCUGCUUUAGAGAUUAGAAAAAAAAAAAACUAAAGACAACUUUUAGCAACGGAUCUCUUGGCUCUCGCAUCGAUGAAGAACGCAGC